UCUACGGGCGGCAGCAGUGAGGAAUAUUGGUCAAUGGGCGCGAGCCUGAACCAGCCAAGUAUCGUGAAGGAUGACUGCCCUACGGGUUGUAAACUUCUUUUAUAAAGGCAUAAAGUGAGGCACGUGUGCCUUUUUGUAUGUACUUUAUGAAUAAGGAUCGGCUAACUCCUUGCCAGCAGCCGCGGUAAUACGGAGGAUCCGAGCGUUAUCCGGAGUUAUUGGAUUUAAAGGGAGCGUAGAUGGGUUGUUAAAUCAGUUGUGAAAGUUUGCGGCUCAACCGUAAAAUUGCAAUUGAUACUGGCAGUCUUGAGUACAGUUGAGGUAGGCGGAAUUCGUGGUGUAGCGGUGAAAUGCUUAGAUAUCACGAAGAACUCCGAUUGCGAAGGCAGCUUACUAAACUGCCACUGACAUUGAUGCUCGAAAGUGUGGGUAUCAAACAGGAUUAGAUACCCUUGUAGUC
This 460-nucleotide ribosomal RNA is filed under the name uncultured bacterium. RNAcentral's name for it is "partial 16S ribosomal RNA". It matches the Rfam family "Bacterial small subunit ribosomal RNA", at positions 338 to 795 of the family's 1533-position model. The record is from RNAcentral.